CAUGCAUGUGUCAGUACAGGCCGCUCUAAGGCGAAACCGCGAAUGGCUCAUUAAAUCAGUUAUCAUUCAUUUGAUCCAAACCUACUACUCGGAUAACCCUGGUAAUUCUAGAGCUAAUACGUGACCGUUACAACUCCGACUGGAAGGGAGGAGUGCUUUUAUUAGUUGAAAACCAAGCGGGCCUCGGUCCGUUCACUUUACUGUGAUGACUCUGAAUAACUUUGUGCAGAGAGCACGGUCUCCGCACCGGCUCCGUAUCUUUCGAGUUUCUGCCUUAUCAUGCUGUGGAUUGUAGGCCAUGCGCCUACAGUGGCUGUUACGGGUGACGGAGAAUCAGGGUUCGAUUCCGGAGAGGGAGCCUGAGAAACGGCUACCACAUCCAAGGAAGGCAGCAGGCACGCAAAUUACCCAAUCCCAGCUCUGGGAGGUAGUGACGAAAAAUAACAAUGCGGGACUCUUCCGAGUCUGCGUAAUUGGAAUGAGCACACUUUAAAUCCUUUAGCAACAACCAAUUGGAGGGCAAGUCUGGUGCCAGCAGCCGCGGUAAUUCCAGCUCCAAUAGCGUAUAUUAAAGUUGUUUUAGAGUGCUCAAAGCAGGCUACUCUCGAAUACAAUGCCCGAAUGUUACCUGCAUGGAAUGAUGGAAGAUGAUCUCGGUUCCAUUUUCUUGGUGGUGGGAGCCAGAGGUAAUGAUAAACAGGGACUGUCGGGGGCAUCCGUACUACGACGCGAGAGGUGAAAUUCAGUGACCGUCGUAGGACGAACAACAGCGAAAGCAUUUGCCAAGAAUGUCUUCGUUGAUCAAGAACGAAAGUUAGAGGAUCGAAGGCGAUCAGAUACCGCCCUAGUUCUAACCCUAAACGAUGCUGACUAGCAAUUCGCCGUCGUUAUUCCCAUGACGUGGCGAGACGCCCCCGGGAAACCUCAAGUCUUUGAGUUCCGGGGGUAGUAUGGUUGCAAAACUGAAACUUAAAGGAAUUGACGGAAGGGCACCACCAGGAGUGGAGCCUGCGGCUUAAUUUGACUCAACACGGGAAACCUCACCAGGCCCGGACACCAGAAGGAUUGACAGAUUAAGAGCUCUUUCUCGAUUUGGUGGGUGGUGGUGCAUGGCCGUUCUUAGUUGGUGGAGUGAUUUGUCUGGUUAAUUCCGGUAACGAACGAGACUCUGGCCUACUAAAUAGUCGACGGGCGUUUUGGUGCAUGGGCCCCGUUCGACACAGUCUUCUUAGAGGGAUGAGCAGCGAGUAUAGCUGCAGGAGAUUGAGCAAUAACAGGUCUGUGAUGCCCUUAGAUGUCCUGGGCCGCACGCGCGCUACACUGAAUGGGUUAGCGGGUUGUCCUUCUCCGAGAGGAGCGGGAAAUCGCGUGAAAACCAUUCGUGAUAGGGAUUGGGGCUUGCAAUUGUUUCCCAUGAACGAGGAAUUCCCAGUAAGCGCAAGUCAUCAGCUUGCGUUGAUUAAGUCCCUGCCCUUUGUACACACCGCCCGUCGCUACUACCGAUUGAAUGAUUUAGUGAGGCCUUCGGACUGGCGGUCUUGGACUGGGGCGGCGGCGUUCCCCCCAGCAAUGGGGUGCCGUCGACUCGCCUGGACGGGCCGGAAAGAUGUCCAAACUUGAUCAUUUAGAGGAAGUAA
RNAcentral lists this ribosomal RNA (1637 nucleotides) under Palaemon tonkinensis. RNAcentral's name for it is "SSU rRNA". It matches the Rfam family "Eukaryotic small subunit ribosomal RNA". Lineage: Eukaryota; Metazoa; Arthropoda; Malacostraca; Decapoda; Palaemonidae. The record is from RNAcentral.